UCAGUGCUCUGGCACUGAGGUGUGACAUACCCACAUUGUUCCAGAACUGGCACACUGCUGUGAGCACCUCAGCUUGCUUUCUGCUACCAAGACUUUCAGUCCAAGUCUGAAGUACGACUCACCCGUAUGGAAAAUCACUUCCUCUAUAACCCCCACUGCCUCUCCCCUCUCUUUCUCCUCCUCGGUUAAUGUGUUGACAUGGCCCUCAGAGUCACCUGAGGGGAAAAACAGAAUCUCCUGAGUCAUUGCUCCAGUUCUUCUUCCAGAAGUAUGACAACAGGCCAAGACGUCAAGGCCUUUGGGCAGGUUUCUGACAGGGGUUGCUCUGGUUGAGCCUUCCUCAGGCAUCAAAAGGCAAAGAGAGAGACAGGCUCUGUCACAUUAUGCAGGCCCUCCUCUCCUGGCUUUGAUUGAGAGUAGUGAUCCAAAACUGAUGCAGAGAGGAGCUGGAGCUCACCUCUUGUCAACGGCGGAUGUUCUCCGCAGGCAGACAGGCAAGCGGCAAUGACAAUGUUGGAUACGCUUCGUGGGCUCUGACAACCCCCUUCACACUUUGACACACUUGGUGAUAUCUCACUCAAUGUUUGCUAUUGUCUUAAAAAGGUAUCGAUUGUAAGACAGUUGCAGAUAGGAUUCAGAUGUGUGUUAAAUAUUGGCUGCAUGUAGAUUCCUUACAUUUCUCCUCAGCUGGGUUGGUUGGUUUUGAAGAAUGUGAAAAUAUCUCUGCUUUACUUUUAACUUAACACAUUUUUUUUUUAGUUUGUCCAAUUAAACCAAAUUGUGUUCUGUGUGUAGCAUUGCAACUCAUGUGUGCAGUUUUUUCAUUUUGGAGUUCAAAGCAUUCAGAACUGCAAUAUAUUCCCCAGAUCUGCAUAUAUUUUAUAGGAUUUUUUUCUACCACUGACAUCUGUGGCAUUUUAGAGACCACCUGUAUAUUGUGUAGAAAUGAAACUAUUUUCUUUAAAUUUUAUUCUGUUGUAAUUUCAGUUUAACAGAGAAUUAACAAAAUGUCAGAUAAAAGUCAUUGCAUAUGUAAGUCUGGCUCUUCCAAUUAAAAAGGUUUGGAUCCUGAA
Molecule: long non-coding RNA, 1073 nt
Organism: Thunnus maccoyii (southern bluefin tuna)
Lineage: Eukaryota; Metazoa; Chordata; Actinopteri; Scombriformes; Scombridae
Exons: 2
Source: RefSeq, a predicted model, not a curated record